CGUGAAAAAAAAAAAGAGAGACUCCCCUUCUUGCCAUCAGUUGAAUCCCUAAAACCCCGUUCACCGAUUUUGAUUCUCAAAACUCUAAUAUCUUUGAUUUUUACCAUCUUCCAAACACCAAAUCUUUUCUUAAGUAAAAAAGAAACAUCAAGAACACCAUUAAAGCCAUUGUCAUUCAACUUGUGAGUUUUCUUAGAUUUAUACCAAUCGUUUGUUUUUCCCUUAAUCAAGAUUCGGAACUGUUGGAGCCUUCGACGAGCAAGGCGAAAUGAAAGGAAAAGUUAAUUGAACUUUCGACGACUAGGCGAAAGCGCGAACAGUAAUUGUUUGGAAUCUUUGCUUAUAGACACGAUUUAUAGUGUUAAAUUGGAACUUAGGAGUAGCCUAAACCUCUAUCCUAAGUUCUAAGUGUAAGCUUAAUUACUCUUCUCAUUUUAUAUUGCUAAAUUUGUGAUUAUGUGAUGUAAAUUGAGUAAUGUAAUGUAUUCAAGUGAUAUGCAACAUAUGUUGUGUUAUUUCUUGUGAAAUAUAUGAAUUGUGAGCAUGUAAACAUGCCAAGUAAAUGUGAUGAUGUUGUGUUAUAAUGUAAAUGUGUAAUGAAAGUGUGUAGAAAAUGGUAAGUAAAAAUGUGUAUAAUUAUUGAUAUUUUGGCCUUGCGAUCUUUUGAGACCGUUGAUAUAGUUGGCAUGUCAUAGGAUUUUGUGAGUACUCACCUUUGUGUUAUGAUUUUGGGGCAUUAAGGCUCGGGACAGUUUGGAGAGAUAAGGGAAUGUGAGCUAAGCUCUAUUCAUCGGGAUAUGUUGGUGUGUUGGAGAGAGUUAGUUUAAUGCUACACUUUUGGGAUAUGUUUUUUUUGGUGUGUUGGAGAUUUGUGUAUCUAAUGUGUGGUGAUAGAGCCCACUUUUAUGUUUCGUAGUCUCAAGUUGAAAAUUUAUCGAACAGUGAAUUAUGUAUGAAAUGCAUUGCAUGUAUAACUAUGUAAAUACAAUGUUAGAUGUAUUAGUAAGUGAUGCAUAAAUAGGUUAAUUUGGCACUCUAGUUAAACACUGUUGAGAAUGUUUCUCUUGCGGUUUUCGUUUAACAUAUGAUAUUGUGUGUAUUUGUAGUAAUCUUAUACAUUUACUGAGCUUGUUAAACUCACACACUCCAUUCUAAACCAUUGUAUAUAAUUAGCGUUGCUGUGUAUUCCAAGGAAGUGAUCCAAGUUAGGCUUAGUAAAUUGAGUAGGUGAUAUUAUUAUUCUUUGAACUGUUGAAAUAAAUACAAUAUGGAUAGAGAUAUUAACUGGUUAUUAUUAUGUUAUUGUUGGAUUAGUAUGAUUAUGAAUUUCUAAAAAUUUUGCUUGGAAAUUAUUAAUAUCUUUUAAUUGUUAUUACCAUGCUUUGGAAUGUUAAGGUAAAGAUAUUGUGUUGGACUGUGUAUUGGGUGAAUUUGGUGCUUGAAGCUGUGAUGAUUAAUGCAUGUUAGAAUAGAAAUAUGUUGAGCAUGUUUUAUACUCUGUUUUAUUGCGUUUUUUGUGAAUAUGAGUAGAGGUACUGAUACUUGGACAUAAAUAUCGAUACCUCAGAGUUGAAUUGUAUUUUCGUGAAGUCAGUAGCUUAAUUUGGAAUCGAUACACAAACACAAGUAUUGAUACUCAGGGUGAAAAUAUCGAUACCUUUGCCCAUGUAUUGAUAAAAUGCUUUCGUUUAAAAUUUGACAGAAUGCUAGUUUCUUGUCGAUUUUCUUGCUAAUAUCGAUACUUAUCUCCAAAAUAUUGAUACACACGAUUGAGUAUUGAUACCUACGUGAUAUUCUUUGGAAAUUUGCUAAAUGGUUCCUAAGCAUGCUUUAAAUUGCUUCUAGGGUUGAUUAAAGUAUGUUAAGUCAUUUUUAAUGUUGCCUAGGGUGUUUUAGACGUAAAACUUCUGUAAAUGUUUGGAUGUCACGAUUAUUGUACACAAUUGGGACUAUGUGAAUAUGUAUGAAUUGUGAUGUUUGAUGUAGCGUCCUGUUAUUCAGGCUCGGCCACUAGGUCGAGUAUAGGGUCUUACACUAAAGUGAGCAAAAUAGGGUAUAAAGAAAACUACACAACAUGUGGUAAACCCUGCCAUGAUAUAAGGAUUUGCAAGGGGGUGGUAUGGGGUUAACAAAAAGGAAAGCAUUUGGGAGCAAAAAACGAGUCAAAAUCGAACAAAUAGAGUUGUUUUCAGGAGCCACAUGACCUGGGCAUUUCCACACGGGCUGGACACACACCUGUGUGAGCCACACGGGCUAGAGACAAGCCAAUGUUUAGCCCGUGUUGAUAUUGCAUCUUGCUUCCCAAAUACGCAAAAGAAACUCAAUUUUUAGUUUUUCUGAGCAUUCUAAAAUCUAUAAAUACCAACUAGAAGAAGACAUAAGGAGCGAUAAAAGAAGAUCGAAGAAAAUACUCGAAGAACACCAUCAAAAUCAACUUGGAAGUGGAUCCCCAUCAAGAUUGAAGAUUUCCUUUUAAUUUCUUUCGAAGUUUUAUUGAGUUUCUUUAUGUCUUGUAGUUAUUCUGACUUUGAGAUGUUUCUAUUUAGGAUUAUGAACUAAUUCCCUGGAUACCUAGGGAGGAUGAAACCUAUGAUGAAUCCUUUUAUCUAAUGUCUAUUUUUACGCGAUAAA
Gossypium arboreum is the source of this 2631-nucleotide long non-coding RNA. RefSeq lists it as uncharacterized. The transcript is spliced from 3 exons. Lineage: Eukaryota; Viridiplantae; Streptophyta; Magnoliopsida; Malvales; Malvaceae. The record is from RefSeq and is a predicted model, not a curated record.